AAGAGUAAAGUACUUCCGCUUCCUUAGGUGGAGCUGGAAAGGUGGAGGCGGAAGUGACUGAUCAAUUCAGGGGCGUGGGGUUCGUUUAGGUUUUGCCCUGUGUAUGACCUCGUUUGGAGCCAUGAAACCAGGUGGCUUUUCUACAAUAUAAAGAUGGAAAUGGGAAGAAGAUGUUCAUUGCAAAUUAAGGAAGCUCUUCCACGAGUUCACGAAUGGAAAUAACAUCAAGAGUUUUUCAUCUUCUUAGUGUGCAAGUAAUCUCUGCUGGACUUCUCUAUCAAAGUGUUUGAUGCAGCAAAAUAAAUAUCAAGGAGUGCAAUUCCUGGAUUUAUGAUGUCUGAGGAAUAGUCUUAGUGGAUUAUCCCAAACUUGACACAUUUUUUGCAAAAUGCUAUACAAAAAGAAGAUACAUGCGAUUAUGACAAGAUUCUCCACUUGGUGUGACCAGUCUCAUACAACCCAAGGCUGUGUGUCCAAAGGCAACUGUACUGAUCUUGACAAUAAUCAAAAGGUAGCCAGGUGCAUCGGGGAAAGCACUGACAUUGGAGUCAGACAGACUGAAGUUCAUAUCUGAUUCUGCUAUAUGACAACGUGUGGGCUAUGUGGCUAACUUCUCAGAGCUUCAGUUUUCUCAAGGGCAAAAUGAAAAUAAUAGAAAUAAUAGAAUCCACCUCACAGGGCUGUGAAAUUAAAGGGGAUGAAAGAUACAUUGGUCCCUGCAGUGGGAAGUUUCCUUGACAAUGCAAUUAUUGAUUCCAGAAGGCUGAACAAAUGUUGACAGAGGAACACACUGUUUGCUUAUGUCUAAUCUUCCCAUCUGACUUAUAUAAAUGUCACAAAUGAAUCUCAGACAUGUGCCCAAUAUCAAAUAUCCAUACGAUGGCCCUGGAAAGAGGCAAUCUACAUUUAUGGCUGAUGAGAAGAUGGAUUUUUAGCUUGAAAGAAACUUAUUACUGGGGAGAGGAAGUAUAAAUGAAUGGAGAGAGCUAUGAAGAGGUUGAGAGAAUACAGCCAAGGCACAUGACAGAAUUGCUCUGUUGAAGUUUUGCAAGGUCAAAUGACUCACUUUGUCUAAUGGAACGGGAACGAACAAUUUUUUUGUGUCACGUUUGAACAGAUACCUUUGAGAAGUUUAUGAUUCUCCAAGUUCUCUUUCUCCUACUGUGGCACCUACUGACAAGAUAAAUGUGUAGAGGUUCCUGAGUCUAGGGGCACUGGAACCAGCUGACUGAUCUAUGGAAGUUCCCUUGGUCUCCAUUUGUUUAGAAAAGGGAUGAAGAAACUGAGGCCCACAGAAGGUGGGUGAUACCUGCAAAAUCACAAGCUUUCAUGGUGAAAGAAGAGGGCAAAACUCAACCCGUCUCUUUAGACUUGGGAAGAAUAUGAAAGGACCAGGAGGGACACCUUUCCUAAUAACCUAGCUGAUGGUUCACUUAUUGUAAGCACAUUCUCAAACAAGAGGCUGGAAAGCUGAAAAAUGACAUUCCCAGACUCCAUUGAAAUUAGAUUUCCAGAGGUGAUUUAUGUUCCACACAUCAGAUGUAUAUGCUCAAGAUUUGUUUAACAGGGAAGGAGGCAGUGGUGUGUGGGUCCCUUUUGCUCAUGUGAAUCUUACAGAGUUGUCUCACUAAGCCCAAAUUUGUCUAACUGGCCUUAUUUCCCUGGAGUAUAUCCUGGAAGUUUCCAUUCAAGCCAAUUUAAGUUACUUUAAAUUAGGAAAGGCAGAAAACAAAAGCCCAAACCUUUGUAAAGGAGGAGGAUUUGCUACAUUGUUCUCAAUUCAUCACAGAAGAGGAUGAAACUGAGUGAUUACACUUGCUGGAGAGAAAAAAAGUCCUUCCCCCGCUCACCCCAAAUAAAGCAUUAACUUUAUGUUAAUCCAUGAA
This 1886-nucleotide long non-coding RNA is filed under the name Homo sapiens (human). RNAcentral's name for it is "PREDICTED lncRNA (TCONS_00005048)". The record is from RNAcentral. Lineage: Eukaryota; Metazoa; Chordata; Mammalia; Primates; Hominidae.